GCAAUGAUUUGCUUGUGCCUGCAAGGGAGGGUCAUUAGAAAAAAAGCUGCCUCAUCCAAACAAUUCUUUUAUGAUCUCUAUGCCGAUGGAGUGAAGGUUGGCUGGCGCUAGGUAUCAAUUGCACUGGGUUGGAACAAGAUAGUAGCUUCUUUGUUCAUAAAGGAAGAGUUUUCUGUUAUAGUAGCACUGGGUUGACAUAUAUCUGCACUUAUUUGUAUUCUGUUAUAGUAGCUUUGUUCUUAUAAUUUUGUCUUGCAUUCUCUGAAGCAUGCCUUAACAGUUGGAAUUAUCCCUGCAGGAUCUGAGAACUCACUUAUUUGACUUUUAUGGGUGUCAAAGAACAUGUUUCAGCAUCGUUAUUAAUUGUUAAGGAUUGCUUUAGAACACUAGACGUAUUGGCUGUUGACUGCCUCCAAUCAGGGCCAAUACACUUUGGUCAAUAGGAUUCCCGUAUGUUGGUGUGAUGUACCUCAGCUUGGAAGCUCCCAAAAUGAUUUCACUAGCCUUUGAAGGUCAAAUUUGCUGGUUCUGACUUGUGCCCUGCUACUAUGUAGGACCGGCCUCAUCCAUUGAGCUUCUCUCUAAUUGAAAUUAUUGCAGAUUUUCAAGCUUUCGUGUAGGUAUAUUACAUGUUAGAUCCGAAAACUAUGCUCAGCUGCUGAACUUCUCGGUCCGUGGUAAAAUCAGGGCUCUAAACAUUCGUUCCUUGAUUAUUCGGUGUUUGUUGUGUAUGCAACCUUAUAACUGAUGCAUGAUGCUUCAAGGAACUCUCCACAGAAAUUAAAUUGAAGAAUCAUGUUAUAUUUCCUGGAGGCCUCAUAGCAAAGAUAUUUGCCAAUUCACAAAGCUAUUAUCUUGAACCGACAUGAGCUUCCUAUACAAUUAAAAGAAAGAUUAUGUACUGCACAUUUGUAAGUUUUCACAUACCUCUGCCUUGAAGAUGAUGCUAUCCACUAAUCCACUAUCCAUGUUGAUGUUGUGCAGGAUCCUCUCACUGUAGUAUUUAUCAAGGUUCAAAAAAUGCAGUAAGCGCUAAGCGGUAAGUGAGGUACCGAUUAGAGGAAAUGUAGCUUAAGCGUUCUAUACGAACAUAGUAGGAGGGGCAGCCGGUUGCACUUUCAGCAAUCAUCCUUCAAUGUUGGCCCAGUAAGGCAAUAUUUCAGCAGCCGGUGCUCUACCAUAUACAACUACUUGAAGAAACCUGACCAAGAGCCCCAAGUAAUUUCGUGUUUGAGUAUCACAUUGCUCUUUGUGAACUAAAUAUUUUUCACGAAUGUUGUAUUAUGAACAUUUGUACUACUUUUGAUCUGUUCACUCAAGAUGAUUGUUGAAGAA
Long non-coding RNA from Lolium rigidum, 1335 nucleotides. RefSeq lists it as uncharacterized. The record is from RefSeq and is a predicted model, not a curated record. Lineage: Eukaryota; Viridiplantae; Streptophyta; Magnoliopsida; Poales; Poaceae. The transcript is spliced from 5 exons.